Molecule: transfer RNA, 75 nt
Filed under: Promethearchaeota archaeon
Lineage: Archaea; Promethearchaeati; Promethearchaeota
Description: Candidatus Lokiarchaeota archaeon tRNA-Phe
Rfam family: tRNA
About the family: Transfer RNA (tRNA) molecules are approximately 80 nucleotides in length. Their secondary structure includes four short double-helical elements and three loops (D, anti-codon, and T loops). Further hydrogen bonds mediate the characteristic L-shaped molecular structure. tRNAs have two regions of fundamental functional importance: the anti-codon, which is responsible for specific mRNA codon recognition, and the 3' end, to which the tRNAs corresponding amino acid is attached (by aminoacyl-tRNA synthetases). tRNAs cope with the degeneracy of the genetic code in two manners: having more than one tRNA (with a specific anti-codon) for a particular amino acid; and 'wobble' base-pairing, i.e. permitting non-standard base-pairing at the 3rd anti-codon position.
Source: RNAcentral
GGGCCUGUAGAUUAGUCGCAGAUUAUUGGAUUGAAGUUCUUGAGGCCGCGGGUUCAAUUCCCGCCAGGUCCACCA